CCUACGGGGGGCAGCAGUAGGGAAUAUUGGUCAAUGGGGGAAACUCUUACCCAGCAAUGCCGCGUGGAUGAAGAAGGUCUUCGGAUUGUAAAGUUCUUUAGUUGGGGACGAAAAAAAUGACGGUACCCGAGGAAUAAGCCCCGACUAACCACGUGCCAGCAGCGGCGGUAAGAAGGGGGGGGCAAGCGUUGUUCCGAAUGAACGGGAGUGAAGGGGGUGUAGGCGGGGUAGGAAGUUAGAAAUGAAAUACCUAGAGCUUAACUCAGGUGCUGCUUCUAAAACUGUUAUACUUGAGUGCAGGAGAGGAAAGUGGAAUUCUUAGUGUAGCGGUGGAAUGCGUAGAUAUUAGGAGGAAUACUAGUGGCGAAGGCGACUUGCUGGACUGUAACUGACACUGAGGCACGAAAGUGUGGGGAGCAAACAGGAUUAGAUACCCUUGUAGUC
Molecule: ribosomal RNA, 444 nt
Filed under: uncultured bacterium
Lineage: Bacteria
Description: partial 16S ribosomal RNA
Rfam family: Bacterial small subunit ribosomal RNA
Source: RNAcentral